Molecule: ribosomal RNA, 121 nt
Filed under: Acinetobacter baumannii ABNIH14
Lineage: Bacteria; Pseudomonadati; Pseudomonadota; Gammaproteobacteria; Moraxellales; Moraxellaceae
Description: partial 23S ribosomal RNA
Rfam family: Bacterial large subunit ribosomal RNA
Source: RNAcentral
ACUUUAUGUCCUCUAAAGAGCCGUUCGAGACUAGGACGUUGAUAGGUUGGAUGUGGAAGCAUAGUGAUAUGUGAAGCUGACCAAUACUAAUUGCUCGUGAGGCUUGACUAUACAACACCCA